Long non-coding RNA from Rhinichthys klamathensis goyatoka, 664 nucleotides. RefSeq lists it as uncharacterized. The transcript has 3 exons. Lineage: Eukaryota; Metazoa; Chordata; Actinopteri; Cypriniformes; Leuciscidae. The record is from RefSeq and is a predicted model, not a curated record.
CCAAACAUUAUAUCAGAGGAACAGGGAGUGAUAUUAAGCUGUUCAACUAAAUGUACUCUGAACAACAAUCAUACUUACUUCUGGUUCAAGAACGGACGGCUGGUAACGGAUGGAUUCACUAAAGCCAACAAGCUGUACCUGGACUCAGUCAGCAAUGAAGAUCUUCAAGAGUAUUCCUGUGCUGUAGAAGGUGACACUUCUCUCAUGAUACAUGUGCUUUAGUUUGAAAUGAUUGUUUCUCUGAUGGUCAUGAUUCACUUCUUUGUGUUGUGAAUAUCCAGUGGACAGCACAGCGUUCAGCCAUUAUACAGUCAUUCUGCUGGUGUUUGUACCUCAGUUUCUCAUUAUAGCGGCUCUGUGGAUGUGCUUUUUCAUCAGAAUGCAUCUAAUCUCAAAGCCAAACUGAAGACAAAAGUGAAGAAUCUCAUGUUCCACAUCUGUUCAUCUGUCCAUCAGAGCUGGUGGAGUGAUGUCAUUGUGUUGUUCCAUUGUGAGGUCAUCACCUAGCAACAGUCAGAACUGUCAGCAGCAACAUCAGUGAUGUCAUAUCCAGUGACUUAUCAUUGACUGCGCAGUCUUCAUAAUCAAAUAAAACGAUAGUACAGGUUUUAGUCAUCCAUUUUUUUUCCUCCUUUUGCUAAAUGUAAGAUGUGCCUUCAAUAAA